RNAcentral lists this ribosomal RNA (253 nucleotides) under uncultured bacterium. RNAcentral describes it as "partial 16S ribosomal RNA". It matches the Rfam family "Bacterial small subunit ribosomal RNA", at positions 524 to 776 of the family's 1533-position model. The record is from RNAcentral.
UACGGAGGGUGCAAGCGUUAUCCGGAUUUACUGGGUUUAAAGGGAGCGCAGGCGGAUUGGUAAGUCAGUGGUGAAAUACCCGUGCUUAACAUGGGAACUGCCAUUGAUACUAUCAGUCUUGAAUGUUGUUGAGGUUUGCGGAAUGGGUCAUGUAGCGGUGAAAUGCAUAGAUAUCAGGAGGAACACCGGUGGCGAAGGCGGUUCUCUGGGCAUGUCCUGACGCUGAUGCGCGAAAGCCAGGGGAGCGAACGGG